Molecule: ribosomal RNA, 207 nt
Filed under: uncultured bacterium
Lineage: Bacteria
Description: partial 16S ribosomal RNA
Rfam family: Bacterial small subunit ribosomal RNA
Source: RNAcentral
CACGUAGGCGGUUGGACAAGUUAGAUGUGAAAUACUAGGGCUUAACCUUGGUGCUGCAUCUAAAACUGUUUAACUAGAGUUCACUAGAGGGAAGCGGAAUUUCCGGUGUAGCGGUGAAAUGCGUAGAUAUCGGAAGGAACAUCAGUGGCGAAGGCGGCUUUCUGGAGUUGAACUGACGCUAAGGUGCGAAAGCGUGGGGAGCGAACG